RNAcentral lists this ribosomal RNA (567 nucleotides) under uncultured bacterium. Its description in RNAcentral is "bacterial SSU rRNA". It matches the Rfam family "Bacterial small subunit ribosomal RNA", at positions 338 to 916 of the family's 1533-position model. The record is from RNAcentral.
CCUACGGGAGGCAGCAGCAAGGAAUUUUCGGCAAUGGGCGCAAGCCUGACCGAGCAACGCCGCGUGGAGGAUGACGGCCUUCGGGUUGUAAACUCCUUUUCCAGGGGAUGAUGAUGACCGUACCCUGGGAAUCAGGCUCGGCUAACUCUGUGCCAGCAGCCGCGGUAAGACAGAGGAGCCAAGCGUUGUCCGGAUUGACUGGGCGUAAAGCGCACGCAGGCGGUGGGGCACGUGGGGUGUGAAAGCGGCCCGCUUAACGGGGCGAGGCCAUCCCAUACGGCCCGACUCGAGAGUGGCAGAGGUUCGUGGAAUUGCCGGUGUAGUGGUGAAAUGCGUAGAGAUCGGCAGGAACACCAAGGGGGAAACCAGCGAACUGGGCCAUAUCUGACGCUCAGGUGCGAAAGCGUGGGGAGCGAACCGGAUUAGAUACCCGGGUAGUCCACGCCGUAAACGAUGAAUACUCGGCAUCUGGUGGCCGAUCUUCGGCGGCCGGGUGCCCCAGCUAACGCGGUAAGUAUUCCGCCUGGGAACUACGAGCGCAAGCUUAAAACUCAAAUGAAUUGACGG